RNAcentral lists this long non-coding RNA (2232 nucleotides) under Malus domestica (apple). RNAcentral describes it as "long non-coding RNA (MDOM_LNC005518)". Lineage: Eukaryota; Viridiplantae; Streptophyta; Magnoliopsida; Rosales; Rosaceae. The record is from RNAcentral.
GGGGUGCUCAUUUAUUUAUUCUAUUGUAUUUGAACAAUUCUUCACUUAUUAAUAAAUGUCAUAAUCAUAUUACUUUGUCAUUAUCAUAUUGUGACACAUAACAAGUAAUAGUUGAAAUCUAACAAUUUAUUUCCCAAGUCCGUUAUUUUUAACAUAUUACAUAAAUACCAAAAUUUGAAACUCUCGUAUUUACAAUCCCAUAACAGUUCAAUAUGUUGCUUACAUAGUUUUAAAGGCAAUUACGUUUUUUAUUUUUAUAAUGACUCGUACUUUUACUUUAUGCCUUAUAAGUAUCGAUCCCCAUAUCUUAAACUUCAACUCCAUUAAAUAGAUCAUUCUUUUAGAAAUAAAAAGUUACUCAUUUUUUGAAGCAUGGCCGAAAUAAACAUCUUUCCAAUUGUGGUAGUUUUGUUUUUGGUGAGUAGCACAUUUCCAACAUUGGAGGCGACAGAUUACAAGGUUUUGGCUGAGUGCAAAAAACAUUUCUCCAUAAAGUAUGCAUGGGAUGCAUACAACUACAUUUUCUACGGACGACCGAUUAGUGAAAAAAGUUGUCGGGCUAUUGUGGCGGUGGGAAAAAAAUGUCAUGAUACUUUUUUGAGCUGGACUCUUGAGGGGAGCUCUGAAAUCAGAAGAUCUAAGACUUUGGCAAGGGGUAAACAACUUUGGAAUCAUUGUGUUCUAACUACAGUCGCACCUGCUUCUUCCUAUUAGAAGAUGAACUAUAUUGCUCCCUAGCUAAAUAUGUGUGGAAUAUUUCAUGAGUUUGAAUAAAUUUUCAAUGCAUUAAAAUGACUUCACGGUAUUACUUUAACUUCUAAUGCAUUAAUAUUUUUGUUGCUAAAAUGAACAAUAAUAAAUAUUAAAACAACUUCCUUGCCAAUUUUGAAAAAUUCGAGCAAUAUUACCCCAAAUAGAUCAAUUUAUACUUUUUAACCCUUAUCCAGAUUUCAUAUGCCAUUAUUGCAAUAACAAUCACUACUAAUGAGAUUGUGACCAUUUUUGUGACUAUCAUUAUAGUCUUCUUAGCUAUUUGUAAAUCUACGUUGAAAAGAGGAAACAUCUAUCGACCAAAAUUCUUGCAAAACGACAAUGAAUUAUAUAAAAGCGCAAGUUUGAUCAUUCAUGACUUUGACUUUAUAUUAUAGAGAUAAUAUACUAUGAAUAAGUUGUUUAGGUUAAUAUUUGAACUUUGGGCUGAAGGAGGAGAAGCCCAAAAAGAAGCCCAUAAGACAUAACCCUCCCCGAAGGCCCAACAUCGAAUCCAUUCGCCCAGCCCAAAGCAAGAUGAUGAUUCCACAUUAAAUGCAAAGGCUAGUUGCUUGAAAGAAGUGACACUUGAUGGAAAUCAACCCACUUUCAACCCAAAAGCACUUUCUGAAUGGCAGAGUACGUAAAUUACUAAUUAGUCACUAUCCCUUAGUUGCUUUCUGGUAGGAGCCAAGUUGCAAGUAGUCAGGCGAAUUUGGCUAUAAAAGGAGGAAGAAGGCCUAGAGACAAAGACACUCAACCAAUCAAACAAACAAAUACACAAACUCUGCUCAAGCCAGAUUUGCAUACGAAGCUGUAGUCAGCCCCCAACCUUAAUCCUUUUCAGGAUUAGCCCUCAUAAAAGCCAUAUUUUGUCUAGUUUAAUAGCUCUGCUACUCUUUCAACCAUAGUAGUAUCGAUUCUCUUAUGUUCACCCUGCUCACCAUUCACUCCCUUUUCUCCCCAAACCUUUGUACUUACAAAGAAGUGACGUUGUACAAGAUUCAACCUUGCCUGACAAGGUUAAAUCUAGCCUGACUCCCUUUGUUUUGUUCCUUACUUAAUAGAUCUAGCAUUAUCAUGUAUCCUUCGAUAUAUAUCCAAGUUAUUUCCAGUCUUUUAGUGGUUCAAAGCGUAUCAUUUGGGCAUUACUAUUGAAAUAAAACCAUUCAGCUAGAUCUGGAUAUUCGCUUUUUAAAGCAUACAAGAUGAACAAAAGUCAUUGGCCUUAAGGCAUAAAAAAGAACUUAAUGUAGACUUAACCCAUCUACGACAAUCCUUUGAUAACAAGAAGUCAAAGUAACUUGGGGCGCAAGUAAUCGGCUUAAAUACACUUGUUUUACAUCUGUUAUACGGAGAUGGCAAUGACACGCCUAAGCACUUAAAGUUAGUUUUGAUUGUGAGCCUCCAAGCCUAUACCUAAGGCUCUGCAAAGUCACCUUUUCAAAGCUAACUUUGUUCUCCUCUUACAGCAUUAUAACG